Non-coding RNA from Cinara cedri, 332 nucleotides. NCBI's taxonomy places the organism in Eukaryota, Metazoa, Arthropoda, Insecta, Hemiptera, Aphididae. The record is from the annotation of a GenBank genome assembly.
UGCCGGAAAGAUGGUUUUGAGACUGCUCCCCCUAUCAUUGCGAAUUAAAUGCGAUUGAAAUGGUGAAAUCUUACGUAAAAUCAAACAACACAACAUAUAAGACUACUGACGUCAAACAUCUGCUUCACCAAGCCCUUGACAUGAUAAAACCAGAAAAUUGGCAGUUUUUCAUAAGACACGUGAAGGACGAGGAACAAAAGUUUUGGGAUGUCGACUUUCUUUGUGAUGAGCUUAUAGAUGAACUCCAACCCAACCAGAGUCAUAUUUUAACAAUUGGUGAAUCAACUGACUCGUCCGAUGACGAAGACGAUUUGUUUACAAGACCCCAAUCC